GACGAACGCUGGCGGCGUGCCUAACACAUGCAAGUCGAGCGGAGAUAGACUGAUGGUAACUGAAGCUUAUCUUAGCGGCGGACGGGUGAGUAACACGUGGGCAACCUGCCUUGGAGUGGGGGAUAACACCGGGAAAUCGGUGCUAAUACCGCAUAACAUACACAAACUGCAUGGUAAGUGUAUCAAAGGAGUAAUCCGCUUUAAGAUGGGCCCGCGGCUGAUUAGCUAGUUGGUAAGGUAACGGCUUACCAAGGCGACGAUCAGUAGCCGACCUGAGAGGGUGACCGGCCACACUGGAACUGAGACACGGUCCAGACUCCUACGGGAGGCAGCAGUGGGGAAUAUUGCGCAAUGGGGGGAACCCUGACGCAGCAACGCCGCGUGGAGGAAGAAGGUCUUCGGAUUGUAAACUCCUGUCUUCUGGGACGAAGUAUGACGGUACCAGAGGAGGAAGCCACGGCUAACUACGUGCCAGCAGCCGGGUAAACAUACUCGUA
Molecule: ribosomal RNA, 497 nt
Filed under: uncultured bacterium
Lineage: Bacteria
Description: bacterial SSU rRNA
Rfam family: Bacterial small subunit ribosomal RNA
Source: RNAcentral